AGGCCUCUUAUGCAAUGAGGCAGUUAGACUACAGUGUAGUUGACUCAUUUCUUACACGGAAGUCCUCUUCCGAUGUGAUUAACCUUGCCGCAUGUUUGAAUAAAGCAAGGUGUAAAAUUCCAUCGCAGAGACUCAGGUGACAGGAUGCCCAGACUUGUCAAGACAUUCCAAGCCAUGGCUUCGGGGGGGGGAACAGCCACAUCUCCGCUGCCAUCUGUCCAACUGGCAACGCGAGCCACCAUGCCACACAAAAGACAAGAGGAAGUCACCGUUUACACAAGUCAUCUGGCACAGAGACAAAACGAGUUUUAUCUUGAAGAGUUUUCCUUUCAUCAAGUUUAAUUGUAAGCUACCUAAUUUAAAACAAUAUACAUGAUGUAACGAUAGAAUUGUAUCACUCCCUUUUUCCAAAGUGAACUAUUUACUAAUUGUAAAACCAGGUUUAUUUGUGGAGCCUGACUUAAGGGUACAUACAUGCCCUAAUUAAAUAAAUAAAAAACACUGUUAACAUGAA
Long non-coding RNA from Gadus morhua (Atlantic cod), 514 nucleotides. RefSeq lists it as uncharacterized. The record is from RefSeq and is a predicted model, not a curated record. The transcript is spliced from 2 exons. NCBI's taxonomy places the organism in Eukaryota, Metazoa, Chordata, Actinopteri, Gadiformes, Gadidae.